Polyodon spathula (Mississippi paddlefish) is the source of this 895-nucleotide long non-coding RNA. RefSeq lists it as uncharacterized. Lineage: Eukaryota; Metazoa; Chordata; Actinopteri; Acipenseriformes; Polyodontidae. The record is from RefSeq and is a predicted model, not a curated record. The transcript has 4 exons.
UAAAGGUGGAAUGUUUCAGGACGAGAUAUGUUCUCUUCAAUGGGAUACCCAGCUAAUGUCCAAAUAGAAAAUUUCUGUACAAUGGUACUCCAAUGAUGAAAUGCCGAAUUUCUCCACCUGAGGGCGCUGACUGCUGGCCUGCCUCGACCACGCCCCCUCAGGUGUACGCCUGACUCGGGCCCCGCCCCCUCAGGUGUACUCCUGACUCGGGCCCCGCCCCCUCACCUGAAUCGCAGGUUCUGCAGGCAAGAUGGCGGCGAGGUGAGUUUGUACUCCUCCUGUUGCUACAUUUUAUUUUCCAUUUUUUUGUAUUAUUUGUUUAUUUUUUUCUUUCCCUGUGGGAUAGCCUAGGAAGCAUACAUAGCGUUUGUUUUCCAAACCCGAAGGGACUUCUGCAUUGCUCUUUCUCUGUUUGGGAGGAUAAGGGGAUUUGGCGUUUUAAAGGAUCUCUGAUCAUGUACCGGUGAACCUGGAGUCUGGUCUCCAAGUAACCACACUUCAAUAUGGUGUACGAUCAUUACGCUACUACGCAUGGUGGUGUUGCUCUGGGUCCAGCGUUUGCUUAUACCUGCCGACGCUACUGAUUAAGUUUAAAUGGAAAACGAUGUUGCUGUUGCUCUGGGUUCAUUCGCCAUGCUGUUCCAGCUUCUCGUUGACGGUAUCCGUUGCCAUGGUGAUGAGGAGGAGUAAUGUAAUGUCUUGUUGAUUUAAACAAUAUUUGUAUAUUUUAUAAUUCUGUUGACGUUGUUUUAUAUUCUAGUAAAUACAGCCUAAUUGCUACAGCAGUAUUUGUGCAAUUGUAAUAACACGCUGUCGUUGCUAAUGUUUGCAAGUGUUACAUUUACAGUAUGCCUCAUUUGUUUCCUUAUAUGUUUCUGUCAAUUGAUUCAAUAAA